Molecule: non-coding RNA, 1179 nt
Organism: Myotis davidii
Lineage: Eukaryota; Metazoa; Chordata; Mammalia; Chiroptera; Vespertilionidae
Source: the annotation of a RefSeq genome assembly
AUGGCCACCAGGCUCUUCUGCUGUGUGGCCCUUUGUCUCCUGGGAGUAGAGCAUGCAGAUGCUGGAGUUGCCCAGACACCCAGACACAAGGUGACAAAGAUGGGACAAGCAGUAAGACUGAACUGUGAGCCAAUUUCAGGCCACAAUGACCUUUACUGGUACAGACAGACUUCACUGCAGGAACUGAAGUUCCUGAUUUAUUUCAGUAAUGGAGCUCCAAUAGACAACAGCGGGAUGCCCAAGGACCGAUUCUCAGCUAAGAUGCCUAAUGGAUCAUUCUCCAUUUUGGAGAUCCAGCCCACAGAACCCGGGGACUCAGCCUUGUACCUCUGUGCCAGCAGCUUAGCCACAGGUGAUUCUGUUUUCUUUGGAGAAGGCACCAGGCUCACAGUUGUAGACAACCUGAACAAGGUGAAACCACCCAAGGUCACUGUGUUUGAGCCAUCCGAAGCAGAGAUCUCCCGGACACAGAAGGCCACGCUUGUGUGCCUGGCCACAGGCUUCUACCCCGACCACGUGGAGCUGAGCUGGUGGGUGAAUGGGAAGGAGAUCCAGAGUGGGGUCAGCACAGACCCUCAGCCCUACAAGGAGCAGCGCCACCUCAAUGACUCCAACUACUGUCUGAGCAGCCGGCUGAGGGUCUCUGCCACCUUCUGGCACAAUCCUCGCAACCACUUCCGCUGCCAAGUCCAGUUCUUUGGGCUAGAGGAAGAAGACAAGAAGAAUUGGGAGGACACCCGCCCCAUACCCAUCACCCAGAAUGUCAGUGCUGAGGUCUGGGGCAGAGCAGAUUGUGGCUUCACCUCAAGUUCCUACCAGCAAGGGGUCCUGUCUGCCACCAUCCUCUAUGAGAUCCUUCUGGGGAAGGCCACUGUGUAUGCGGUGCUGGUCAGUGCCUUGGUGCUGAUGGCCAUGGUCAAGAGAAAGAAUUCCUGACACCAGCUCAGAGGUGCAGCCAGGAACUUCCAGCCUGUUAUCUCCCCAAUAUGGAUUCCCUUUUUUCCAUUCCUAGCCAGCGCUUCAGAAGAGCUGUCUCAAUCUCUCAACUCAUCCUGAUAUCCACCCGCUAUAUACUUGCAUAGCUGAACAUUCAUGACUAAAAUCUCCCUAACCCCAGGGGACCCUGGUGUGCCUACAUUGACUGAACCAAUAAAAAUGGCCUGUUCUGGCUUGAUUCUG